CCUACGGGAGGCAGCAGUGAGGAAUAUUGGUCAAUGGACGUAAGCCUGAACCAGCCAAGUCGCGUGAGGGAUGACGGCUCUAUGGAUCGUAAACUUCUUUUAUAAGGGGAUAAAGUGUGGGACGUGUCCUAUUUUGUAUGUACCUUAUGAAUAAGGAUCGGCUAACUCCGUGCCAGCAGCCGCGGUAAUACGGAGGAUCCGAGCGUUAUCCGGAUUUAUUGGGUUUAAAGGGUGCGUAGGCGGCCUUUUAAGUCAGCGGUGAAAGGUUGUGGCUCAACCAGGGAAUUGCCGCUGAAACUGGGGGGCUUGAGUAUGUUUGAGGCAGGCGGAAUGCGUGGUGUAGCGGUGAAAUGCUUAGAUAUCACGCAGAACCCCGAUUGCGAAGGCAGCCUGCCAAGCCAUGACUGACGCUGAGGCACGAAAGCGUGGGGAUCAAACAGGAUUAGAUACCCGGGUAGUC
This 460-nucleotide ribosomal RNA is filed under the name uncultured bacterium. Its description in RNAcentral is "partial 16S ribosomal RNA". It matches the Rfam family "Bacterial small subunit ribosomal RNA", at positions 338 to 795 of the family's 1533-position model. The record is from RNAcentral.